RNAcentral lists this long non-coding RNA (217 nucleotides) under Setaria italica (foxtail millet). Its description in RNAcentral is "long non-coding RNA (SITA_LNC005119)". The record is from RNAcentral. Lineage: Eukaryota; Viridiplantae; Streptophyta; Magnoliopsida; Poales; Poaceae.
UUAAGCCUAAUUAAGACUAAUUAAUCCAUCAUUAGCAAACAUUUACUGUAGCAACACAUUGUCAAAUCAUGGACUAAUUAGGUUUAAUAGAUUCGUCUCGCCGUUUAGAUUCGUCUUAUGUAAUGGGUUUUGUAAAUAGUCUACGUUUAAUACUCCUAAUUAGUAUCUAAACAUUCGAUGUGACGGGUGCUAAAAAUAAGUCAGUGGAAGAAAACGG